RNAcentral lists this ribosomal RNA (274 nucleotides) under uncultured bacterium. RNAcentral's name for it is "partial 16S ribosomal RNA". It matches the Rfam family "Bacterial small subunit ribosomal RNA", at positions 523 to 796 of the family's 1533-position model. The record is from RNAcentral.
AUACGGAGGGUGCAAGCGUUACUCGGAAUCACUGGGCGUAAAGCGCGCGCAGGCGGUCUUUUAAGUUGGAUGUGAAAGCCUACGGCUCAACCGUAGAACUGCAUCCAAAACUAUUAGACUAGAGUGUGGGAGGGGAAGAUGGAAUUAGUUGUGUAGGGGUAAAAUCCGUAGAGAUAACUAGGAAUACCAAAAGCGAAGGCAAUCUUCUGGAACACUACUGACGCUGAGGCGCGAAAGCGUGGGGAGCAAACAGGAUUAGAUACCCGGGUAGUCC